This 691-nucleotide ribosomal RNA is filed under the name uncultured soil bacterium. RNAcentral describes it as "bacterial SSU rRNA". It matches the Rfam family "Bacterial small subunit ribosomal RNA", at positions 165 to 863 of the family's 1533-position model. The record is from RNAcentral.
AAGACCGGGCGACGUGUCUGAGUCGCAUGGCUUGGACACCAAAAGGACAACCGCCCCGGGAGGGGCCCGCGUGGUAUUAGCUAGUUGGUGGGGUAAUGGCCUACCAAGGCUUAGAUGCCUAGCAGGCGUGAGAGCGUGGCCUGCGCCACUGGCACUGAGACACUGGCCAGACUCCUACGGGAGGCUGCAGUCGAGGAUCUUCGGCAAUGGGCGCGAGCCUGACCGAGCGACGCCGCGUGCGCGACGAAGGCCUUCGGGUUGUAAAGCGCUGUCGGGGGGGAGGAAAGCCCGCAAGGGUCUGACCCACCCCCGGAGGAAGCACGGGCUAAGUUCGUGCCAGCAGCCGCGGUAAGACGAACCGUGCGAACGUUGUUCGGAAUCACUGGGCUUAAAGGGCGCGUAGGCGGGCCAUCAGGUCCGUGGUGAAAGCUUCCGGCUUAACCGGAAUAACGCCGCGGAUACCGGUGGUCUGGAGGCGGGCAGGGGCGCGUGGAACUCCCGGUGGAGCGGUGAAAUGUGUUGAGAUCGGGAGGAACGCCGGCGGCGAAAGCGGCGCGCUGGGCCCGUCCUGACGCUGAGGCGCGAAAGCCAGGGGAGCGAACGGGAUUAGAUACCCCGGUAGUCCUGGCCCUAAACGAUGGGUACCGGGUAGGGGGCCGGCAUGGGCUCCCUGCCGGAGCGAAAGCGUUCA